This 490-nucleotide non-coding RNA is filed under the name Ophiostoma piceae UAMH 11346. Its description in RNAcentral is "Eukaryotic large subunit ribosomal RNA". It matches the Rfam family "Eukaryotic large subunit ribosomal RNA", at positions 955 to 1444 of the family's 3401-position model. The record is from Rfam by way of RNAcentral. Lineage: Eukaryota; Fungi; Ascomycota; Sordariomycetes; Ophiostomatales; Ophiostomataceae.
UUACUACCGAAGUUUCCUUUAAAAUAAUAAUAUUAUAUUUAAUUUUAUAAAGUAAAGCGAAUAAUUAAAGACUCGGGGGCGUUAUAUUGCCUUUAUUUAUUCUUAAACUUUAAAUAUAUAAAAAGCCUUUAUUAUUUAAUUAAACGUAAGCCUUCGAAUACACUAACACUAGUGGGCUAUUUUUAAUAAAUAAAACUAACGAUACGGGAUAAACCGAACGCGGGGUUAAGGUACCGGAGUAAACGCUUAUUAAACACUAUAAAAAGCGUUAAUACAUUUUAAUAAUAAAACGGUGGCUAUAAAAGUCGGAAUCCGUUAAAAAUUAUAUAAUAACUUACUUACCGAAUAUAUUAACUUUAAAAAUAAAUAACGCUUAAACGUCCCACCCAUACCCCGCCUUUAAAGUAAAAACAAAGCUUUAAAGAGUAAGCGGCCGUAAAGGUUAAUGACGAAGCUUAAAGCGUAAGCCCGGGUCGAACGGCCUUUAAUA